Molecule: small nucleolar RNA, 67 nt
Organism: Delphinapterus leucas (beluga whale)
Lineage: Eukaryota; Metazoa; Chordata; Mammalia; Artiodactyla; Monodontidae
Source: Ensembl
UUUCUAUGAUGAAUCAGACUAGCUCACUAUGACUUAAAUAAUGAGAAGAUUUGAACACCUGAGAAAC